UACGUAGGGGGCAAGCGUUGUCCGGAAUCAUUGGGCGUAAAGCGCGCGUAGGCGGCCCGGUAAGUCCGCUGUGAAAGUCGGGGGCUCAACCUGCGAAUGGCGGUGGAUACUGUCGGGCUAGAGUGCGGAAGAGGCGAGUGGAAUUCCGGGUGUAGCGGUGAAAUGCGCAGAUAUCAGGAGGAACACCAAUGGCGAAGGCAGCACUCUGGGACGUGACUGACGCUGAGACGCGAAAGCGUGGGGAGCAAACAGG
This 253-nucleotide ribosomal RNA is filed under the name uncultured bacterium. RNAcentral describes it as "partial 16S ribosomal RNA". It matches the Rfam family "Bacterial small subunit ribosomal RNA", at positions 524 to 776 of the family's 1533-position model. The record is from RNAcentral.